UUUCCCUAUCUAGCGCCAGACCUUUUUAGAUAAAAGGUUAACGAGGAAAAGAGUGAUCGAAAAUUCGGCGGAUGCUCUUUCGUACCGGCUCCGGUGCGGGAUAUACCGGCAAAUAUGCAGGUGACUGCAAAACAAAUACGGUAUAACGGAGUUUA
Molecule: non-coding RNA, 155 nt
Filed under: Lachnospiraceae bacterium 10-1
Lineage: Bacteria; Bacillati; Bacillota; Clostridia; Lachnospirales; Lachnospiraceae
Also listed under: 1 other name
Description: glmS glucosamine-6-phosphate activated ribozyme aptamer
Rfam family: glmS glucosamine-6-phosphate activated ribozyme aptamer
About the family: This entry contains a glucosamine-6-phosphate activated ribozyme that is found in the mRNA for GlmS.
Source: Rfam by way of RNAcentral